RNAcentral lists this unclassified non-coding RNA (249 nucleotides) under Hevea brasiliensis (rubber tree). Lineage: Eukaryota; Viridiplantae; Streptophyta; Magnoliopsida; Malpighiales; Euphorbiaceae. The record is from RNAcentral.
GAUGCCCACACUUUAGUACGAGUCUUAUGCCACAAGAAAGACAGGGAGGCUUCCAAGUUCCUAAAACGGCAAUAUCAGCUUCCCAUGUCUUCAGAGUACGAUGACACUCCAGAUCGGGAUUCAACUUUGAGAUCACCUCUUAUAUCAGAUCUCCUUAAGCGAAGUUACUCGACUAAUUGGACCAACAAGGGCCACAGCAGUUUCAAAUCAAUAAAGAAGAAACUUCAAGAAGCAACAUCUGAGAUCAGG